CAGCAGCCGCGGUAAUACGGAGGGUGCAAGCGUUAAUCGGAAUUACUGGGCGUAAAGCGCACGCAGGCGGUCUGUCAAGUCAGAUGUGAAAUCCCCGAGCUUAACUUGGGAACUGCAUUUGAAACUGGCAAGCUAGAGUCUUGUAGAGGGGGGUAGAAUUCCAGGUGUAGCGGUGAAAUGCGUAGAGAUCUGGAGGAAUACCGGUGGCGAAGGCGGCCCCCUGGACAAAGACUGACGCUCAGGUGCGAAAGCGUGGGGAGCAAACAGGAUUAGAUACCCGCGUAGUCCCUGUCUCUUAUAC
This 301-nucleotide ribosomal RNA is filed under the name uncultured bacterium. RNAcentral's name for it is "partial 16S ribosomal RNA". It matches the Rfam family "Bacterial small subunit ribosomal RNA", at positions 509 to 807 of the family's 1533-position model. The record is from RNAcentral.